This 9129-nucleotide long non-coding RNA is filed under the name Phaseolus vulgaris (common bean). Its description in RNAcentral is "long non-coding RNA (PVUL_LNC001464)". Lineage: Eukaryota; Viridiplantae; Streptophyta; Magnoliopsida; Fabales; Fabaceae. The record is from RNAcentral.
GACUGGAGUGAUAGUAUGGGUAGCUGAUGCUGCUAGAUGGGGUAGGGAUGGCCUGGAACGGUAUGCAGUAAAUGCUACAUUAGGUGGGUGGGGCGGAAUGGUGAUGCUGUAAGGUUGGUUUGCUGAAGCAAGGUCUUGGACCGAAUGGGUGAAAAGGCUUUGAUGGUGUCACAGCUUUUGGGUGCAGUAAGGGGCAUCACGAAGUAGGAACGCUUUGGUUGCCUUUUCACAUGUGUUAUGGCAGGUCUUUGUAAUCAUAGCAGCAACACUCAAUUCUCAGGGUGCAACACGGACACUGUGCUGAACGUGGAGGUAGAAUCUGUUAGCAAAAUGUGGUAAAAAGUGAAUGGGUCCAUGAUGCUUUUCUGGUCUAAGAAACUGAAAGUGCCUAUGGCUUUCGGUGGGAGACUUGCAUCCAACUCUGAAGCAAUUAUGCAGUGGUCAUUUUCUUAGUUUUUCCAAGUGGAUCACGCCUGAGGUGGGGCAGGGGUUUUUCUUAUAGCUAAGUUGUGUACUCACUGCUGUAGUAUAUUCUGUCAUAUAUAGUUGUAUGCUUAAGCUUUGAACACUUUUUGUAUACGGGUUGGGACACCCCUGAAGUGUCCCGUUCUAUUUCAUUAAUUCAUUGCUGAUAAAAAAAAAACAAAUAUAACCAGAGUAACCACCCUUCAUCCAACUUCCAUGUAUCAGAUUAUUUGGUGCCAUCUGAUUACAGCACCUUCAACUGCACCUUACAGAGCUCCCUUCACAAAACUUAUCCACAGCACAUGAUUUGAACCAUACAAACCUUGUGCCACCUUGCAUGUCAAGACCAGAAAAGUGGCUUCUAUUUAGGGUCAACUUCAGCUGACAAAAGGCUUCCCGAAUUCCGCCAAGACCAGAGUCAUACAAGCAGCUUGGUUGCCACUUAGUAAAAGAGCUUCCUACGCUUGGUUAAGGCAUUUGAACAUUUUUCCAAUGGAGCACGGCUCCAGAUCCACAUCUUCGUAGAUGAGGUUCCUCCCUAGGAAAGCAAGGUGGUCUAGUUCCACCCAAAGCCAGUAAAGUCCAACUGUAGCAGACCUGCAGCAAGACACCCUUAAGCAGCACCAGACAACACCUAGAAAACAAAAAGCAUACAGCUCCUAGACACAAUUCAACAACAACUUUGAAGUCUCUUAGACUUCUGAACCUUGUCCACACCAGCUUGAACUUGUGCAAGAAUCCCUCGUGAUUCGCUUAAGCUUCAUUACAAUCUUCUUAGAACCUGUACUUAAUUCUACUUUCACUCAGCAAACCUUCAGAUCCCUUAAUAUGGCAAGACAAAUCCUAAAAUCUAAAACAGACCAUCAGGAUCAAAUUUUCCAACAUCUCUCAAGCUGGCCAAAAAGCCCAAAUCCAUAUGCUUCUCUUGAUAGCCCCAUACUAGUAGCCAUUACACUUUUUGAAUUUUUACAUUCAAUUGUGUAGCUUUGCAUACUAGAUUCAUAGUUACUGUCCCACCAACACCUCCAUCUGUGUCAUGGCCCUAUACUUUCACAUUUCAUAUGACAGCAACACCCUCUUGGUCCUUAAUUCCUUGCCCAAUAAUCCAGCACAUUAGAAUACCUGCAGAAAAAUGCGAGUAGAUGUUUUAUAGUCCCUUUCACACCAAACUCCAUUCUAAAUGCACAGGGCCAUGACACGGGUUGGUGUUGCUCCAACUAUAGGGUGGACCUCUCAAAACCCACCAGUGCCUAGCCCCCAAACUCCAACAGUCCUCUAAAGUGAGCUUUAUAUUGGGGGGAAUACUACAACAGUUUGCACUCCCAUCCUGACACAGCCCCCACUUAUUCCUCCAACCAAUUAGAGCUGAUCACUAAACCCUAUGUCCAGGCCUUUAGACCAGAUAUGCCAACAAACCUUCCGUUUCUCUAGGGACCACUAGAUACAUCACUUAACCCCACUUACUUAUAGCUUCCAAUGCAGAUAAGUGGGUUCAAGACCCAAUCCACAAAAGAAUAGUUGAAUGUGUGUACCCUAUCCUUUAGUCAUAGUCACGACUUGAGUUGGACCGUUUGGAAUAUCUCUUCCGCAUCAACUAUCCCUUGCUUAAAAAUUAUAGAGUUCCUGUGCUCCCAGAUACACCUCACUAUAGCUGCCAAAACACCUUUCCACAAUAGGUUUUGUGUACUACUGGCCUGAGAUAAGUAGAAAUUCUCAAAGUGAGUCAUAAGAUCAUUGUGUUGGACAAACAAGAUACCAAUCCAUUUAAAGCACAACAACCAAACAGCCUGGGCAACUUUGCAUUCUAGGAAUAGGUGUUGGCAUGAUUCAUCCUUAGUCUGACACAACGCACAUAAACUUGUGUCCAACGUCACCCCUCUCCUACUCAAACUCUUUCUUGUUGGGAUUCUUCCCAAGAGUACCCUCCAUGUUGUGGUUAUCACAUUGAGGAAUGCUUUAGCCUUCCACAGGUACUUGAACACAUCAUGAUGAGGACCUAUUACAUGCUUAGCUAGACAUUCAUAUCUGAAUUCACAAAGAACACCCUUGAUUCAUCACACCUCCACUUCUGUAUAUCUUUAUCUUCUGUAGACAUGUUAGCCCGAGAAAUGUGCAUAACAAGAUUUGCUUCCAUGACGGCUUCCCACUCGAAUCUGACUCGCCUCCAUCUUAGAUUCAACUUCCAUACUGAUUCUUUCCACAUUCCAACCUCUUCCACCUUUUGGACCUGAUUUAGAGACAGGAAGUACAACCUGGGAAACAAAGUUUUGAGGUUAGUAUUACCAACCCACACAUCCUCCCAAAAUCUAACUUUGUCUCCACCUCCUAUUUUUCAUACUAAUUCUUCUUGGAACCAACCAACUCCUCCUCCCUCUCUACAUACUUUAGAUAAGUCUCUCCACCAACAGGUUUGGAAUUUCACUGGUGUAUGUGAACUGUCUAACUCCAAGCCAUACUUUGAGUCCAGAAACUCCUUCCACCUUCCUUUCUCUUCUGAUAAGAGACGUCAUCUCCACUUAGCCAGGAGAGCAUAGUUAAACUUUCGUAUAUCUUUGAACCCCAGUCCACCUUCCUCUUUCGGUUUACACAGGUCUUCCUAGCUUACCCAAGAGAUUGGUCUCUUCUCCUUUCCCCAACCACAUAGGAACCUUCGUUGAAUAAUGAUUAUGCUUUUAUAUACCUAGUCCGGCUCUUUGAAGAGGGAGAGGUAGAAAAGUGGUACAAUAGUGAUAACUGAUUUGAUUAGACAUAUUCUCCCCGUCAUGGAUAGAAAUCUCCCUUUCCACACACUGAGUCUAGCUUUUAACUUGUUUAGAAUAGGCUCCCAAAACUGCUUCUUCCUUGGGUUCCCUCCCACUUCUAGGCCCAAAUAUAUAAACGGGACUCCCAUCUGCCCAUAAUUCAAGGUCUUUGUGUAGCAUACAAGAGCGUUUCUAUCAACAUUGAUGCCUGCUAGCUUGGAUUUGUGAAAGUUAAUCUUCAAGCCUGAUGCUAGCUCAAAGCCCCUAAGAAUAGCCUUCAUAGUUACCACAUUGACAUAGGCAUCCUCACAUAAGAAGAGAGUAUCAUAUGCAAAUUGCAUGAUACUAAUCUCUACCUCCUUCCUUCCAAUCUUAGUACCUGACAAUAGGUUGGCCUAUUGGCUUCCCUUACUAACCCGGCUAGGCCUUCAGCUACCACAAUAAAGAGAAAUGGGGCUAAUGGGUCACCCUGCUUCAAACCUCUUGUUCGUUUAAAUUCCUCCGUAGGACUCCCAUUAACUAGCACGAAGACGGUAGCGGAUUCCAUACAGCAUCAGAUCCAUUUUAUCCAUUUGCUGUGGAAACCCAACCUGUGAAGCAUAUCAUAUAAGAAAUCCCACCUAAUCGAGUCAUAAGCUUUUUCAAAAUCCACCUUAAAGCACAAUCCUUUCCCGUCGUACCUCUUCAGAUCUUCUACCACUUCAUUAGCCAUAAGCACACUAUCCAGCAUCUCUCUGUCCUUUAAAAAUGUUGAUUGGCUUUCAUCGAUAACCGAUGCUAGCACUUUCUUUAUUCUGCCAGCCAACACCUUUGAUAUGACUUUGUAUAUUGCGCCCACUAGUGAGAUAGAACGAUAUUGUUCUAGCUUGGUGGGGUCUCUUACUUUAGGUACUAAUGCAAUGAAUGAUGCAUUACACCCUUUCAGAAUUUGUCCUGCUUCAUGAAAGUAAGCUAAAGAUGCAACAAACUCAUCUUUGAUAAAAUCCCAACUUUCCUUAAUAAAGUUGAAAUUAAAUCCAUCAGGAUUAGGACUCUUUGACCCAUCACAUUGCCAUACUGCAUCCCUCACUUCUUCCUCGGAGAAAACAAAUAUAAGACUCACGUUGUCUUCGGGGGAAAGAGAUUUAAACUCUACCGCAUCGAGUCUUACCCCGAAAUCUCUUGUUGCUUUAAACCUAUUUUCAAAUAGCUUCUUCGCUUCUAUUAGAACGGUAUUAGGUUCUUCACACCAUUGGCCCCCAACCUCAACUCCCUUGACUUCAUUUUUAAGUCUUCUCCACCUUAAGGAAGAAUGGUAGAACCUAGUGCAGGAAUCCUCAUUCUUCAGCCAACUUGCUCUAGUCUUUUGACAUAUAAGGGAUUCUAUCUUUUUAUCAGUCUCCCUUAGUCGGUUCGCCAGUUCAGUUCUUUUCAACCUCACACGUCCCAAGAGAUCACCAUUGUCGUCGUCUUGGCAAUCUAGGAUCUCUAUUUCCUGCAGGAUGCUAUUCUUGGUUGACUCUAGGUUCCAAACACAUCUUUAUUCCAUAGUUUUAAGUCAACCUUCAGCAAUUUUAGCUUUUCUUUGAUCUUCGUUAUUUCAUUCCCCUGUACUAAGUAUGAUUGCCAUUUUCCUUUCACCAAAUCAUUAAAACCCCUCUCCAUGUGCCAGACGUCAAUGGUCCUAAAAGGUUUAGGACCCCAAUCCUUAUCCACGGUCUUCACCACUAACGCACAGUGGUCUGAAACUUCCCUCCUCAGGACAUAUUGUUUGCACAUUGGCCAUUUUUGUAGCCACUCUUGAGAGACAAGAACUCUGUCUGGUCUACUUUUAGUCGAACCAUUUGACUUAAACCACAUAUAUUUCUUACCUACUAUAAGUAAAUCCAACAAUAAGUUGGAGUCGAUGAAGCUAUUAAACCCAAAUAUCUCACUUGAUUGGUCUCCCCUGUUCCUUACACCUUUCCUUUCACUUCUGCUUCUUAUGGCAUUAAAGUCACCACAGAAGCACCAAACUGAGUCUUGAGAUGCCACUUUAAUAUUGGUUAGUUCCUCCCAUAGAAUCUUCUUUUCACCCAGAUGCAGCGUAAAUAUUUACUACAACACACCUACAGUUCGAUUUUAGGUGCUGACCAAAUAUAGCAAUGUACCCCUCCCCCAUCUGGUGACUUUCAAAACUAAAAGCUUCUUUGUGCCACAUUGACAACAAACUUCUAGCUCCGUUGUCCCCUUCAUUGUGUAUCCAUUCAACUUUGUUGUCCCCCCACAUAGAAAAACAUCUAGGAUGCGAAAAGACAGUUGUUUUUAUUUCUUGCAGACAUACAAAUUCUGCUCCCUCACAAGUGAUGAUAUGCCUCAUGUACCUAGCUUUGGUACCUCCUCCCAAACCUCCAAUAUUCAGGUUUACUAUCAACAUAAAUAACCACUUUUGUUACCCUCCUCAUAACUCUGCAUAACCUCCAAAUCUCUCACAUCCAUACACUGAAAUUCUUUCACAACCUCUACUUCAUCCCCACGGCAAGCGAUGCCAAUAUGUUUAUUAAUCUCCCAUAGCUUUGAUGGUUCCUCCAUAUAUUCCGACUCACGAUAUCUUGAGUUGCAAUUAUUGAUAUCCCCAUCAGAAAUGGUACAAAAUUCUUUCCUACACAAGAAUGAGAGGUAUCCCUUACCUAGGAUGUUCUUGCACUUAUUCUGACCGACCGCCUAGGGUGGGUGCUUGAUUCGCCCAAUUCCCAUAGUCCUUUCAUCUUGUGCCGUCGUGGGGGUGUUUUGCAGAUGCUUCCCACAUAUGCUUCCUCAUCUCCUAGCAAGAGAGAUACAUUCCUGCUUGGGCUAGUAUCCUUUGGUUCGUCAUUAGCUUCUUGGGCCCUAUGCAUAUCACGAUUAUCUUGUAGACCAUCUUGCUCCCACGGUUUCAGCAUCAAUCCGACAAGCGGCUCGGGUUUAGCUGGUUGCCUCAACGUGUUUUCUUCGUUGGAUUCUUCCUCUAGCACCUGCACCACCGAAGCUGUAGCUUGACAUUCGUAUUCUCCAGUAUCGAUUUUCUCUUCGCACCCUGACCCACAACCCAUCUGCAUAGACCCUUCAUCUCCCUCUUCCAAUUGGGCCAACGCACAACCCUUCUCUUGUCCACUUCGGGCCAAUUGCUUCCCCUGUUGGGCCAAGGAAGUAUUGGGCUUACGCUGGGUAAAGUUGUUCUCAACAUCCACCACAAGUCUAGCCAGCUCAGCGUGUUCAGAGAGGCUAUCACUAUCGGGGUCGCAGAUGUAGGUAGAGUGGUUGGCAGGAUCAACCUCUUCAGAUACCUUCAGACCCUUCAUUCCUUCAUUAGUGAAACUCUUAAAAACUUUUUCCUGGCUUACCUCUCCUUUCGUUGCAGAUACCUCAAAUGGUUUAUCCUUUGUCGUAUGCGCUUCCUGUUCCCCACCUUCAUCUGCCUCUCCUUCCUCCGCCUCCCCCUUUGACCCGCGGUCCUUCCUAUCCCAAACCUUGACCUCCUCCUCACAGCUUUUCGCAAAUAAGUCUGUUUCUUCUAUAUAGGUCUUCGACAAAGAGAUACUAUCAAAACACUCAUAAACAUUGAGGGCACACUUACAUUGGCUUUCAUUUAUUGUUGAGUUCUCCUCUUCAAUGAAUAUAUUGAACGUUUGGUCAUUUAUCUACAUACCCUUCGCCAACCUAGCGUUACAGUUCUUCAAUAAAUGAACUUGAAGUCUGGCGUAUUCAAGGUUCUCCCAUAAUAACGUGGACUUAUCAAUGGCCACCAGCUUUGCCACUUCUCCUACCACUUUAGAAAAAUAGUCCUUGUUCCAGAAGGUGAUCAGCAAACCAUAGCACCUCACCCAGACUAUCUUAUGGCCUGCUACAUAAUCUUCCAACCAAGGGUCAACGAUCUCAAAGACACUUUCGAACCACUCCUUGUUAAGUUUCAAAAGAUCUUCCAUGCUCUCCCCUUCUCUUGGCGUCAGGAGAGUUAGGUUGUCACCCAAAUACCUCACUUUUAUCAUGUUCAUUCCUCCUUUCACAAAUUCUUCUCCCAGUUGGGCAAAGUUCAUAUCUAUAUUGAACUGGCCAAUGACACUGUUUUCCAUCCACGACAAUACAUGAUGUUGCGUCUUGAUAACAGGUCCCUUCCAUUUCUGUUGCAAUUCACCUUUAACUAUGUCAGCAUAGGAUUUGUUUCCUUUCUUUUCCACCCAUACCUCUUUUCUCUUCAUCUUCCCGUUUAACACCGGAACCUCCUGGAUUCGCUUCUUGGUAUCCUUUGGGAUCUCCUUGUGUAGGAUUCUGUUUUCCCUUCUCGAUACUCUGUUAGAUUCCAACUCAUGCCUUCGAUAUCUUGGAAUGUUCACGUAAAGCUUCAUGUUUCCUAUAUACACUACAAGAAAAUCAUGAAAUAGAAACCAAUUUUUAGAGACCAAAAUAAUUAGUUGCAAUGGUAACUAAAUUAGAUACCAUUUUAGAAAAUAAAAAAAAAUUUGGUUUCUAAAUUAGUUUCUAUUAUUGUUAAAUAGUUUCUAAAUUGGUAUCUAAUUAGCAACCAAGGUUUUAAAGACCAAAUUUAGAAACUAAAUAAUUGGUAGUUAAAACUUUGGUUGCUAAUUAGAUACCAAUUUAGAAACUAUUUAACAAUAAUAGAAACUAAUUUAGAAACCAAUUUUUUAUUUAGUUUCUAAAAUGGUCUCUAAUUUAGUUACUAUUGCAACUAAUUAUUUUGGUCUCUACAAAUUGAUUUCUAUUUCAUGAUUUUCUUGUACUGAUAGAUUUGGUCUAGCUCCCUCUCCAGUCGUCCUGCAUUUCUCACUUCAAAGAAUCUUACAAACCCAAAUCUUCUCUCCCAUCUGUUUAGCCUACGGGAUAUGAAGACUUCUUUUACCCUAGUCCAUUUUUGGAAGACCUUAAUCAUGUCUAGUUCACCAAAGCCAUUUGGGAAGUUUGAGAAGAAGAAUGUUGUAAAAUCAUAUGUAGGUUUAUGUGGUUUGUGGUCAUACCCAUGGCCACCGUAUCUCUGAGUUCUUCUCCCUUCCAUUUCUCUUGGGUUAAGUUCUUUGUUGCAAAGUUGAUGUCUGAAUUUCUAUGUGGGGUAUUGGCUGGACCAAUUAAUGAACAAUGAUUGUGAAAAUUAAUUUUUUGUUUGUCUUAUAAGUAGUAGAAUUUAAAUAUAUUAUGAUAAUUAUAUAUGCAUGUUUCUCUCUUUAUGUAGAUGGAGAAUAAUGGUGGCUUCAAUGUCUUCGUCAAUCCCAAUGUGGACUACGCAUUCAUAGUGGCGCUACUUAUGAUUGUUAAGGACAUGAAUUGUUGUGAUGAGCCCCAGAAUAGUACAAAUACAAAUAAAACUAUUAGUGCCCUAAAAAUAAUUUCAUUAUCUUUUUGAAGUAGCUAAAUAAAUAUAUUGAAUAAGAAAAUAUAAAUAAAAGUGAGGAAAUAAGUUUGGAGUCCUCCCUAAUGUACUUAUAUAGAUGUCUGUUGUAUUAUGUUGUAUAUGGCUAUUUCUUUAUCUUUUAUUAUAUCAAUGACAGUAAAGUUAAUGGUAACUUAUAUAGAUCCGAAAUGUGUGGGAGAAGUUUUUUUUACCUUAUCUCUUGUAAUAGCAAAACCCAAACGACACAAUUUUGUAGGCAAAACAAAAAAAAAAACAUUCAUGGUAUAGGAAAAACUUAUCUUAAAGUUAGUUAUAUCAACAAUUACCAAGUUGAUAUGUUAUGUAAAUAACUUACUCACGAAUUAUUCUUUGAAUAAUAACUUAGUUAUAGGUAAGUUACCAUUGAAUAAAUUUGUGAAUAACUUCGUAGAUCAAUGCAUGCAUGGAUAACUUAUCUAUAGAAUUUCUUUUAGCUAAAUCAUGCAUGGACUUUUUUUUAUGAAUAAAUCCAUAAGAAAUAGUAAGAAUAUUUUUCGUCUUCCAAGUCAUGCCACUCUAUACUUCUAUAGUUACAAAUGUGAA